GUGCUCACUUCGGCAGCACAUAUACUAAAAUCGGAACGAUACAGAGAAGGUUAGCAUGGCCCCUGCACAAGGAUGACACGCAAAUUUGUGAAGCGUUCCAUAUUUUU
Molecule: small nuclear RNA, 107 nt
Filed under: Tursiops truncatus (common bottlenose dolphin)
Lineage: Eukaryota; Metazoa; Chordata; Mammalia; Artiodactyla; Delphinidae
Also listed under: 1 other name
Source: RNAcentral